Molecule: ribosomal RNA, 253 nt
Filed under: uncultured bacterium
Lineage: Bacteria
Description: partial 16S ribosomal RNA
Rfam family: Bacterial small subunit ribosomal RNA
Source: RNAcentral
UACGUAGGGUGCGAGCGUUGUCCGGAAUUAUUGGGCGUAAAGGGCUCGUAGGCGGUUUGUCGCGUCGGGAGUGAAAACACCGGGCUUAACUCGGUGCUUGCUUUCGAUACGGGCAGACUAGAGGCAUGCAGGGGAGAACGGAAUUCCUGGUGUAGCGGUGAAAUGCGCAGAUAUCAGGAGGAACACCGGUGGCGAAGGCGGCCCUCUGGUCCAGUACUGACACUCAAGUGCGAAAGCGUGGGGAGCAAACAGG